GCCAGAGAAUGGUGGAGCCAAAUUUUGUUGCAGAGAGUGGAAUAGGGUAGUGGCCAUUGUCAUGACUUGCCAGAGAGUUCAGAUCUGUCGGCUGGAGCUCAGCUGGAAUAUCUGAUGGAGCAGAAUGGCUCUCUACCCCAUCGAUCUAGGAGAAGCUCGAAUGUUUCUGAAGCUGCUGACGAUUCUACUAUUGUCGGAUGCCUCAGGCGCUGAUGCCACAGGCGAGAGUCAUCUGCUGUAGAAGCUCGAAUGGAGA
This 256-nucleotide long non-coding RNA is filed under the name Elaeis guineensis (African oil palm). RNAcentral describes it as "long non-coding RNA (EGUI_LNC073460)". The record is from RNAcentral. Lineage: Eukaryota; Viridiplantae; Streptophyta; Magnoliopsida; Arecales; Arecaceae.